Molecule: ribosomal RNA, 468 nt
Filed under: uncultured bacterium
Lineage: Bacteria
Description: partial 16S ribosomal RNA
Rfam family: Bacterial small subunit ribosomal RNA
Source: RNAcentral
GACGAACGCUGGCGGCGUGCUUAACACAUGCGAGUCGAACGGAAAGGCCCUGCUUUUGUGGGGUGCUCGAGUGGCGAACGGGUGAGUAACACGUGAGUAACUUGCCCUUGACUUUGGGAUAACUUCAGGAAACUGGGGCUAAUACCGGAUAGGAGCUCCUGCUGCAUGGUGGGGGCUGGAAAGUUUCGGCGGUUGGGGAUGGACUCGCGGCUUAUCAGCUUGUUGGUGGGGUAGUGGCUUACCAAGGCUUUGACGGGUAGCCGGCCUGAGAGGGUGACCGGCCACAUUGGGACUGAGAUACGGCCCAGACUCCUACGGGAGGCAGCAGUGGGGAAUAUUGCACAAUGGGCGGAAGCCUGAUGCAGCAACGCCGCGUGCGGGAUGACGGCCUUCGGGUUGUAAACCGCUUUCGCCUGUGACGAAGCGUGAGUGACGGUAAUGGGUAAAGAAGCACCGGCUAACUACGUG